Molecule: ribosomal RNA, 509 nt
Filed under: uncultured bacterium
Lineage: Bacteria
Description: bacterial SSU rRNA
Rfam family: Bacterial small subunit ribosomal RNA
Source: RNAcentral
AGGGUUUGAUCAUGGCUCAGGACGAACGCUGGCGGUGCGCCUUAUGCAUGCAAGUCGAGCGAAGCUUUUUGGUAGUUUACUACUAGAAAUGACUGAGCGGCGAACGGGUGAGUAACGCGUGAGCAAUCUACCUUAGUUACUGGGAUAGCCCGAGGAAACUCGGAUUAAUACCAGAUAUUCUUAUUUUUUCACAUGAAGUUUUAAGGAAAGGUCAGCCGAACUAAGAUGAGCUCGCGUUCUAUCAGCUAGUUGGUGGGGUAAAAGCCUACCAAGGCUACGACGGAUAGCUGGUCUGAGAGGACGAUCAGCCACACUGGGACUGAGACACGGCCCAGACUCCUACGGGAGGCUGCAGCAGGGAAUAUUGUGCAAUGAGCGAAAGCUUGACACAGCGACACCGCGUGUGGGAUGACGGUUCUAGGAUUGUAAACCACUUUCAGGAGGGAAGAAAAUGACGGUACCUCCACAAGAAGACCCGGCCAACUAUGUGCCAGCCGCCGCGGUAAUAC